RNAcentral lists this ribosomal RNA (589 nucleotides) under uncultured bacterium. RNAcentral describes it as "bacterial SSU rRNA". It matches the Rfam family "Bacterial small subunit ribosomal RNA", at positions 28 to 633 of the family's 1533-position model. The record is from RNAcentral.
GAUGAACGCUAGCGGUGUGCCUAAUGCAUGCAAGUCGAACGGGAAGCUUUGGAUUCGUCUGAAGCUGAGAGUGGCGAACGGGUGAGUAACACGUAGGUGACCUACCCCAGAGAGGGGGACAACCACUGGAAACGGUGGCUAAUACCCCAGAUGUUUCACAGAUUAGAAAAGUGAGACUAAAGCUCCGGCGCUCUGGGAGGGGCCUGCGGCCCAUCAGCUAGUUGGUAAGGUAAUGGCUUACCAAGGCGAAGACGGGUAGGGGGCGUGAGAGCGUGACCCCCCACACUGGUACUGAGACACGGACCAGAUACCUGCGGGUAGCAGCAGCAAGGAAUAUUGCCCAAUGGACGCAAGUCUGAGGCAGCAACACCGCGUGGAGGAUGAAAGCCUUCGGGUUGUAAACUCCUUUUCUGGGUGAAGAGAAAGGACGGUAACCCAGGAAUAAGUCUCGGCUAACUACGUGCCAGCAGCCGCGGUAAAACGUAGGAGGCGAGCGUUAUCCGGAAUUACUGGGCGUAAAGCGCAUGUAGGCGGCAUUUUAAGUCGGACGUGAAAGCUCCUGGCUCAACUGGGAGAGGCCGUUCGAAAC